UUCCCAACAUGAGCCUGUGUACUGUGUGUAUUGCCUGUUUCCAUUGUGAGUAGAGAACCUGUCUAGUGAGCACAUUAGACUUUCAGAGGCCAAGCAUGCAUAAAAGCAUCAUCCUACAACAGAGCAGCCAGCACUCAGUGGAUUAUGGGAGGCAGAGGGCUGUGAAGGAUACCCUAGUUGUGGUCUCAAGUCUUGAAAUGUUGACUUUAGAGGAUGCAGUCCUUGAUUUUGCUCUCCGAUAGUGAGCUGGUGACCUAAGGCGAACACAUGCAUAGGGUCCUCAUCCUGACAUCAUGUCCUCAUGAACUUUAACUAAAUUAUGCUCUGGAGCCAUGUUUCCCAAAAUGGGUUGCAGUCCCUUUUUUAUUGGGUCUCCAAUAAUGGAGACCCCUGUAUAAUGUGUAAUAUGUGGAGAAGCUCUCAGGGUUUGGUUUUAAAUACGACGGGUAUCUCCAAACGCAACAUCCGCUGUAUUUGGGGACAGUCCAAACAUCUCUUUGCAAAGAAGAAUCCUUCAAGAGGUGUUGAUUUGAAUUUGUCACAACAUACUUGUGUGUGUGAAUCGGACUUUCCAAUUCACAAAUGCAUUUUGUAGACAUGGUGUUUUGCCCUUCAUCCAUAGUUUGUAGAUGAUUUUUGUAAAUUUGGGUCUCAGGGAGACACCAGAUUCCUCUUUCGGGUCUUUAGCUGAAAAAAGUUUGGGAACCACUGCUCUGGAGCGUUUAAGCCCUCAGUAUGGUUUUGGAGAUGUGGAGCGCUGCUGCUGACUCAGACAAUGCCAGACUGACCAUCUGGAGUCAAAACCCAAAUUGGGCCAUAAAAAGACACAUGCACACAGACAGCCAGUGCACAGCUGUUAUGCACAGCAGUUAUGCAUUCAGUUUAGUGGGUUGCCUGGCACAGUGUGGUUACUGCCCGCUGCUUGUCAUUUCUGUAGACUCAGUUUAUAACGUCAUUUCAUCACAGCUAGCAGGUGGCUGUUGUCUUACUUUAAGUUAAUAACAAAGGAAAAGUGAAGCAUCCGAAUUACAUCACUUUAGAUUCUUAAGCUCUGUGGGAUGUUGGCCUGGGGAGGUGAUAAACAUGGUUCCUCCUAAGGUUUACCAAAUUAACACAACAAAGGGUCAUUUUGUUCCCCAGUUCUAGUGCUAGGGGGUUAGGACCUUGGCUCAUAGAUACGCUCCCGUUUUGAAUAUGCAGAAAGAAGCUCUCCGGGAGCAGUUCAAAGCACGCAACACUAAAUCUAUGUGCUUAGCUCCACUGUGUAAGCACACUUUUUUUUUUUUUUUUUUUUUUCCCUCUGACCUCUCAGUUCUGUGUCUUUGUGCUUGACAUGUUCAUCUGCACUCACAUCUUUUCAGGCGCUCGCACUUUGAUCUUCCGGCGCUCAAUAUAUCAGCGUGCGACAUUGUGAACCAUGUGCUCAACAUUUAGAUUCUAAAUUUACACCACUGAAAUAGCUCCUUAUGCAUUUAGCGCUGCUGCCGGCAGUAGCAGUAUUUCUGCAGUGACGAGGACCAGAGCUUUAGAGAGGAUUUAAGGCUGCUAGCCCACUUAAAGUUAAAACAUAAGUGGAAGUCAUGGGCAGACGAAAAGGUUAUCUAGAUUUGCGCAGUAGGAUAAUGUUUAGCUCAGUUUGCAGGUCUGGUUAUAUCAGAAAUGUAAAACUAAAAGCUCUCAAAGUAUUUUGAUUAUCUCAGAUUUAACUUGCAGGACUUCUUUCUUACUUGUUUCAGUGAAGAAAAACUGCUAUAAAACUACCAACAAAAAAGAAUAAACAGUGUUGAUUCUUUGUGUGUUUAUUCAGUUUGUGUGUUCAUAUUUUAGAUAGUAAUAUCAUUACACGGCAUUGGAGGUUUCCAUGUCAUAUUGUCCAACAUAUUCUGACAGUUAAUUUAAAUGUCCAUGUGGGUCGUGGUGUAUCUCCAAGCUGGUUUUGAGUCAGAAGUCCAGGGCUCCUAGAGGGAGAUGGAGGAAACUCCUGGGUUGCAGAAAAUACUGCAAAACUUCUUACUUUAACUGGGUGGGUUUGCAUAACAAACACAGCAUAGCAGCAUACAAAUCAUACUCACUAUAUUCUCACAUUGUGCUUACACUGCUACAUUCAUUUUAAAGGAAUUCAUUAGAAUAUGCCCCGUAUUAUCAAGUAGAAAGUGUGGGUAUGUUUAUUAAUGCGCCUCUCCACUGCAGUGCUGUUUUUUUUUAUUUCCCCUCUGGGUCUGCUUGUUUACAGCAGCAUUUAGAGGAACAUGUUUGUUCGCUUCCUUCUCUUGAUUUCCCUGAUAACGAUCUAACUAAAUGUUACAUAGAAAGUUUCUAAAGUGUCAGAUAAACACCACUGCCUGUAAGUGAGUGCCUCUACAGUCAAUAUUAAGGAUUACCACCAGAUUUAAUUAGAUUGUAAUGAGACCUAAAUAAGAAAAGCUGCCUAUACUGAUCAGUGUUUAAAACAGCAUUUUUUAUUUUUUUUAUUGUACCAAAAGAACCUCUGGUUAUCGCGGUCAUUUGCAACCAAACACUGGAGCUAAGUCCUGUCCUGGUCUUGUAUUUAAAGUAGAAAAGCUUUAAGUGUCCCUCUAAAUGGUAAAAGUUAUCAUGUAUCAUAACCAUCUAUAUAUUUAUUGUGUUAUUGUUAAUGAUUUAGGUCCUGGUUGCCAUGCUAUAUCUCAAGUAUGUGGUUUAUCAUUAAAAUCUUCUUUUCUA
Long non-coding RNA from Micropterus salmoides (largemouth bass), 2703 nucleotides. RefSeq lists it as uncharacterized. NCBI's taxonomy places the organism in Eukaryota, Metazoa, Chordata, Actinopteri, Centrarchiformes, Centrarchidae. The transcript is spliced from 2 exons. The record is from RefSeq and is a predicted model, not a curated record.